Molecule: ribosomal RNA, 465 nt
Filed under: uncultured bacterium
Lineage: Bacteria
Description: partial 16S ribosomal RNA
Rfam family: Bacterial small subunit ribosomal RNA
Source: RNAcentral
GACGAACGCUGGCGGCGUGCUUAACACAUGCAAGUCGAACGGAAAGGCCCCUUUGGGGGUACUCGAGUGGCGAACGGGUGAGUAACACGUGAGUAACCUGCCCUUGACUUCGGGAUAACUUCAGGAAACUGGGGCUAAUACCGGAUAGGAAUCCUUGCUGCAUGGUGGGGGUUGGAAAGCUUCGGCGGUUUUGGCUGGACUCGCGGCUUAUCAGCUUGUUGGUGGGGUAGUGGCUUACCAAGGCUUUGACGGGUAGCCGGCCUGUGAGGGCGACCGGCCACAUUGGGACUGAGAGACGGCCCAGACUCCGACGGGAGGCAGCAGUGGGGAAGAUUGCACAAUGGACGGAAGCCGGAUGCAGCAACGCCGCGGGCGGGAAGACGGCCUUCGGGUUGUAAAACGCUUUCAGCAGGGGCGAAGCUUGUGGUGACGGUACCUGCAGAAGAAGCACCGGCUAACUACGUG